RNAcentral lists this ribosomal RNA (407 nucleotides) under uncultured bacterium. RNAcentral's name for it is "partial 16S ribosomal RNA". It matches the Rfam family "Bacterial small subunit ribosomal RNA", at positions 30 to 526 of the family's 1533-position model. The record is from RNAcentral.
AUUGAACGCUGGCGGCAGGCCUAACACAUGCAAGUCGAGCGGAGCGGCGGACGGGUGAGUAAUGCCUAGGAAUCAACCUGGUAGCGGGGGAUAACGUCCGGAAACGAGCGCUAAUACCGUAUACUAUCAGAUGAGCCUAGGUCUGCUUAGCUAGUUGGUGGGGUAAAGGCCUACCAAGGCGACGAUCAGUAACUGGUCUGAGAGGAUGAUCAGUCAAAUUGGAACUGGGACACGGUCAAGAUUCCUACGGGAGGCAGCAGUGGGGAAUAUUGGAAAAUGGGCGAAAGCCUGAUCCAGACAUGCCGCGUGUGUGAAGAAGGUCUUCGGAUUGUAAAGCACUUUAAGUUGGGAGGCGUUACCAACAGAAUAAGCACCGGCUAACGUCGUGCCAGCAGCCGCGGUAAUUC